Molecule: ribosomal RNA, 1506 nt
Filed under: metagenome
Description: bacterial SSU rRNA
Rfam family: Bacterial small subunit ribosomal RNA
Source: RNAcentral
AGAGUUUGAUCCUGGCUCGGGACGAACGCUGGCGGCGUGCCUAAUACAUGCAAGUAGAACGCUGAAGAGAGGAGCUUGCUCUUCUUGGAUGAGUUGCGAACGGGUGAGUAACGCGUAGGUAACCUGCCUUGUAGCGGGGGAUAACUAUUGGAAACGAUAGCUAAUACCGCAUAACAAUGGAUGACCCAUGUCAUUUAUUUGAAAGGGGCAAAUGCUCCACUACAAGAUGGACCUGCGUUGUAUUAGCUAGUAGGUGAGGUAACGGCUCACCUAGGCGACGAUACAUAGCCGACCUGAGAGGGUGAUCGGCCACACUGGGACUGAGACACGGCCCAGACUCCUACGGGAGGCAGCAGUAGGGAAUCUUCGGCAAUGGGGGCAACCCUGACCGAGCAACGCCGCGUGAGUGAAGAAGGUUUUCGGAUCGUAAAGCUCUGUUGUAAGUCAAGAACGAGUGUGAGAGUGGAAAGUUCACACUGUGACGGUAGCUUACCAGAAAGGGACGGCUAACUACGUGCCAGCAGCCGCGGUAAUACGUAGGUCCCGAGCGUUGUCCGGAUUUAUUGGGCGUAAAGCGAGCGCAGGCGGUUUGAUAAGUCUGAAGUUAAAGGCUGUGGCUCAACCAUAGUUCGCUUUGGAAACUGUCAAACUUGAGUGCAGAAGGGGAGAGUGGAAUUCCAUGUGUAGCGGUGAAAUGCGUAGAUAUAUGGAGGAACACCGGUGGCGAAAGCGGCUCUCUGGUCUGUAACUGACGCUGAGGCUCGAAAGCGUGGGGAGCGAACAGGAUUAGAUACCCUGGUAGUCCACGCCGUAAACGAUGAGUGCUAGGUGUUGGAUCCUUUCCGGGAUUCAGUGCCGCAGCUAACGCAUUAAGCACUCCGCCUGGGGAGUACGACCGCAAGGUUGAAACUCAAAGGAAUUGACGGGGGCCCGCACAAGCGGUGGAGCAUGUGGUUUAAUUCGAAGCAACGCGAAGAACCUUACCAGGUCUUGACAUCCCGAUGCUAUUUCUAGAGAUAGAAAGUUACUUCGGUACAUCGGUGACAGGUGGUGCAUGGUUGUCGUCAGCUCGUGUCGUGAGAUGUUGGGUUAAGUCCCGCAACGAGCGCAACCCCUAUUGUUAGUUGCCAUCAUUCAGUUGGGCACUCUAGCGAGACUGCCGGUAAUAAACCGGAGGAAGGUGGGGAUGACGUCAAAUCAUCAUGCCCCUUAUGACCUGGGCUACACACGUGCUACAAUGGUUGGUACAACGAGUUGCGAGUCGGUGACGGCAAGCUAAUCUCUUAAAGCCAAUCUCAGUUCGGAUUGUAGGCUGCAACUCGCCUACAUGAAGUCGGAAUCGCUAGUAAUCGCGGAUCAGCACGCCGCGGUGAAUACGUUCCCGGGCCUUGUACACACCGCCCGUCACACCACGAGAGUUUGUAACACCCGAAGUCGGUGAGGUAACCUUUUGGAGCCAGCCGCCUAAGGUGGGAUAGAUGAUUGGGGUGAAGUCGUAACAAGGUA